CCCGCGGGGCUCCGGGCGGCCGUGACCCUGCUGGAGUCCGGGGGGGACCUCCAGCCCCCCGGGGGGUCCCUGCGCCUCCUCUGCCGCGCCUCCGGCUUCGAUUUCGGCAGUUUCGGCAUGUACUGGGUGCGCCAGAGGCCCGGGCAGGCGCUGGAGUGGGUCGCAGAUAUCAACACCGGUGGCAGCCCCUGGUACGCGCCGUCGGUCGAGGGCCGGGCGACGAUCUCCAGGGCCAACGGGCAGAGCUCGGUGACGCUGACCAUGAACGGCCUCAAGGACGAGGAUUCCGGCUCCUAUUUCUGUGCCAAAUCCGUUGAUGCCAAUGCUUACGCUGAUGGUUCCCCGUUGUCCUUUUGGCCCUGUCCCCGUGUCCCAGACCCUUCCCCCAGACCCCACCCCUGA
This is a non-coding RNA of Vidua macroura (Pin-tailed whydah), 402 nucleotides long. Lineage: Eukaryota; Metazoa; Chordata; Aves; Passeriformes; Viduidae. The record is from the annotation of a RefSeq genome assembly.